GGUCCAUACUUGAUUGUAAAAAGAACUCACCACGAUAAAACAUGUUUUUUAAAUCCAUUUAUACAUCGAAAACGUUUGCACCGAGAAGUACUGUUACGAUGAACACAAUGAACGAUAUUUUUGACAUGAAUCGAUUAUUAUGUUUACUUGUAAUUGCUAAAUCAUUACAUAGAGCUUUGAAAGAUUUUUGAAAUAUUACCGAGAAUGAAAAAAGAUUUCCCUGAUGAUGGACCAAAUACUCAAAUUACAGAUCGAUGAAUGUAUAUCUUAGAAACAGAGAAAAUUGACUUUCGAAAUAAAAACAACAUGCGAAUAUUGAUAUUUAACAUGUGCCAUAAGGCUAGAACGAAUCAAUUUUUAUCGUUGCUGGAUUAGAUUCUAUAAAACUUGAUAUAUUAUUUUGUUAGAAUCUCUUUUACUUGAAUAAACAAGUUCCAUAUUUAUAGAUAAAA
Diorhabda carinulata is the source of this 452-nucleotide long non-coding RNA. RefSeq lists it as uncharacterized. NCBI's taxonomy places the organism in Eukaryota, Metazoa, Arthropoda, Insecta, Coleoptera, Chrysomelidae. The record is from RefSeq and is a predicted model, not a curated record. The transcript has 2 exons.